GAUUUCUGGUUCGGCGCACUUGGCCCGUCUCGGUUUACGGGAUUGCGUGCCGGUGUGCGCCAUCCAUCCUUCGGGAAAUACACAGCUACCCUUCACUGGGUCGGUUGUGCUAUCCCGAUCUUUUACUUUGAAAAAAUUAGAGUGUUUAAAGCAGGCUUGCGCUAUGAAUACAUUAGCAUGGAAUAAUAAUUUAGGACUUUGCUUCUAUUUUAUUGGUUUCUAGGAGUAAAGUAAUGAUUGAUAGGGAUAGUUGGGGGUGCUAGUAUUCAUCGGCCAGAGGUGAAAUUCUUGGAUUCGAUGAAGACUAACUAAUGCGAAAGCAUU
This 324-nucleotide ribosomal RNA is filed under the name Cercomonas sp. Its description in RNAcentral is "SSU rRNA". The stretch from base 77 to 324 matches the Rfam family "Eukaryotic small subunit ribosomal RNA", at positions 706 to 955 of the family's 1831-position model. Lineage: Eukaryota; Cercozoa; Cercomonadida; Cercomonadidae. The record is from RNAcentral.